Molecule: ribosomal RNA, 431 nt
Filed under: uncultured bacterium
Lineage: Bacteria
Description: bacterial SSU rRNA
Rfam family: Bacterial small subunit ribosomal RNA
Source: RNAcentral
AACGAACGCUGGCGGCAGGCCUAACACAUGCAAGUCGAGCGCCCCGCAAGGGGAGCGGCGGACGGGUGAGUAACGCGUGGGAACGUACCCUUUGCUACGGAAUAGCCUCGGGAAACUGGGAGUAAUACCGUAUGUGCCCUUCGGGGGAAAGAUUUAUCGGCAAAGGAUCGGCCCGCGUUGGAUUAGGUAGUUGGUGGGGUAAUGGCCUACCAAGCCGACGAUCCAUAGCUGGUUUGAGAGGAUGAUCAGCCACACUGGGACUGAGACACGGCCCAGACUCCUACGGGAGGCAGCAGUGGGGAAUCUUAGACAAUGGGCACAAGCCUGAUCUAGCCAUGCCGCGUGAGCGAUGAAGGCCUUAGGGUUGUAAAGCUCUUUCAGUGGGGAAGAUAAUGACUGUACCCACAGAAGAAGCCCCGGCUAACUCCGUG